UGUUGAUGGUGCGAAUUCUCUUUGACUAGGGAUCCAAAGAGGGUGCUAGACCCUUACGCAUUGUUGACUUUUCGUACGCGUUCGUUUCUUGGAGUAGGGUUGUUUUGGAUCGCAGCCCAAAGUAGGUGGUAUACUUCAUCUAAAGCUAAAUACGACUACGAAUCCGAUAGCAAACAAGUACCGUGAGGGAAAGUUGCAAAGUACUUUGAAGAGAGAGUUCAAGAGGACGUGAAACCGGUAGGGUGGAAGCAGAUAAAGUUGACGAACGUGUGUCGUAUUCAGAACUACAAUUUGUGGUUUGUUUUUACGAUCGAUGUGGGCUGGCGUCUUUGGUUAACUUAGUGUCUGGCGGCAAUGGUGACCCUGCGGAGGGAUAAUCGGUUGUCGUGCGAUGCUUGGUAUGGCUAGAGGUUCGCUGGUCUUAUAGUCAUCGCUUUAUCUGACCCGUCUUGAAACACGGACCAAGGAGUGUAGCGCUUACGCGAGUCUUAGAGUGUGUCAAAACUUUGAGGCGUAACGAAAGUAAAUGUGGAUUUAUUCACUGACUUG
This 549-nucleotide ribosomal RNA is filed under the name Steinernema sp. RNAcentral's name for it is "partial large subunit ribosomal RNA". It matches the Rfam family "Eukaryotic large subunit ribosomal RNA", at positions 170 to 752 of the family's 3401-position model. Lineage: Eukaryota; Metazoa; Nematoda; Chromadorea; Rhabditida; Steinernematidae. The record is from RNAcentral.